Molecule: small nucleolar RNA, 71 nt
Organism: Cynocephalus volans (Philippine flying lemur)
Lineage: Eukaryota; Metazoa; Chordata; Mammalia; Dermoptera; Cynocephalidae
Product: small nucleolar RNA SNORD56
Exons: 1
Source: RefSeq, a predicted model, not a curated record
CUGCAAUGAUAGCAAUAGUUUUCGUGAAUGGUAGUUCACCUAGUGAGUGUUGAUACUUUGGAUCUCAGAGG